Molecule: ribosomal RNA, 253 nt
Filed under: uncultured bacterium
Lineage: Bacteria
Description: partial 16S ribosomal RNA
Rfam family: Bacterial small subunit ribosomal RNA
Source: RNAcentral
UACGGAGGGAGCUAGCGUUGUUCGGAAUUACUGGGCGUAAAGCGCGCGUAGGCGGCUUUGUAAGUUAGAGGUGAAAGCCCGGGGCUCAACUCCGGAACUGCCUUUAAGACUGCAUCGCUUGAAUCCGGGAGAGGUGAGUGGAAUUCCGAGUGUAGAGGUGAAAUGCGCAGAUAUCAGGAGGAACACCGGUGGCGAAGGCGGUGGCCUGGGCCGGAACUGACGCUGAGGAGCGAAAGCGUGGGGAGCAAACAGG